GAGGGGACGCGGGGACAGGAGCCCCGGGCUAAGCCGGAGCUGAGCCCGCGAGCCGCCCUUAAGCAUCGGGGGCAGGGCAGGGCGCCUGGGGGAGGGGGCGAGGCGCGGAGCUAAUCCCACGCCGGCCCUGAGGCAGCCCCGGGGCCGGGGGAGCGGUGGCCCCCUCGGGAGCCCCGUCCUGAGGGCGCGGCCUGCCUCGUCGCCGGGGUGAGGGGCGGGCGGGCGGCCGCGGCAGGGGGGCUUGUCGGGGCGUCGCCGCGCACCCAGCGGCCUGAGGGGAUCGACGACCGGAGAGCGCUCCCCGCGCCCACCCUGCCCGCCGCCGCGGGGGGGCUCCUCCGGUGGGAGAGAAACCCCCUCCCGCCUCCCCCCGCCCCGCCCCGGCAUCCCAAAUUUAGCACGUUCCUCCGAGUCUUAUUUAAGAAGAAACAACUUGAAUGACUAAUUAGAUCCAAGCCGUUAGAAGCGCUCUGGACUGCUUCCACGAACCCUUUAAUGCGUGCGCUAAAGAUUUCCAAAAUGAUUUCUGCUUGCAAGGAUGUAGACGGGAUGUGACCUGGCACCCGCUUCACGCAGUUUUUUGUUUCACAAAGUGCGAUUUAAUCCACACUCAGGAGAAAGGGCGAGGAGUGGGAAGAAAGACCCUGAUUUCCCUACUCAGCCUCAUGUGCCCCAAACUGAUCAGCUGCUUUUCGAUUCUAUUCAGAACUUGGUGCUUCCCUCAGCUGGAGCGAUUAUGGGAAACAGAAGCACUUUUCUUCAUUUGUACUGUUGGCACUGCGUUAGAACAGAAGCACUUGGAAAAGCAAGCCCAAGUGCCAUCCCAAAAGAUUUGUCAACUCAAACCCAUCUGGUUUAUAAUAGUAAAAGGAACGUGGUUAAGGGUGUUCCUCAGCACCAUGCACUUAACCUUCAAUUUAUCCUUGGUCUUCAGUUUUUCUGUUCUGAUUGAUGGAGCUUCAUGACAUUGUAAUCUUUCCAGAGCUAUUAAGAAGAAGAACUCCAUUCUGCAUAAUUCAACAGCUAUCAAAUCAAUUUGUGGUGCUCAAGAUGCAAAUGCAUGUUGACAGCUCACCCCAAGACAUCUGCUGAGUGCUCAGCAGAUGUUGCAAAGUGAAUGAAGUAUUAACAUAAGAAGAAAAUGAAAGCUCCCUCACUCGGCAGGAUUGUGGCCCUGACUCUGGCCCAGAAACCUGAGGGUGGCCUUUGUGGACCCAUGCCAGGGAAGACAGAAAUGACCAAGUUAUUUCCAACUACAUUCUUUCUUCCAGUAAAGCCCAGGUAGGAUUCAGCAGUGUUUCUCCAGCCAGAUAUACUUUAAAAUCUAGUCGUCCUCAAGCAUUCACCCCAAGCCCUUUAAUCCCAGUGCCAGCUAAUGCAGUGGGUGAAGAAUGUGGAAAACUUCUGUCCUGCCUAUCCUAAGUAAAAAAAUGGCUUAAAUUGUGAAAGCUAACAGGGACAGAUAGUUGGAUGUAUGUGUGGCAGGGUGAAGGUCUGAAGCUGAACUUCUGAACUAUCAAGCAGAAGCCUGCUACUUACUAAUUGCAACUGGUACAGGCUGGUACUAGAUUUUGUUAACACCUGGACUAAACAGAAAUGGCACAUCCCAAAUCCUGUAAUUAAUGAAGAGAUGAGACAGAACCACCAAUUACGAGACUGAUCAUGUGCAUUGUGCUUCUGCACACUGGCUGUUCAGACUGGGGAAAAUGGGGUCCUGGAAUUCUGGAAAGAAGAGCUGGUGAUAAAAUUAAGGGUUUCUGAAAAGAUGUGGUCUCAAUAAAAAGAAGAUUGCCUGGAAAAAGGAAGGUGACGUUCUUGGCUAGAGGAAAGGUCCUGAAAGUAGGGUAAGAUCCUGGAGACCAGAGGGCUGCAUGUAGGUGAGUGCCAGGGGAUGGCCUUCCUGGAUGGACAGUGAUGGCCCUGCUGAGAAAGGAAGUUGAGGCCUGGUGGAUGUAACACUGGGGUGGUAGUGGGCGUGAGUGAGUGUGUGAAGUAAUUAAGAAGGGUAAAAGUUCUAACUUUGUUGGUUGACAAGUAACCCCCAGUUCCCAGAUCCACUGUCAUUUACUCUGUCUUGUCCAUGACACUGCCUUUUUUAGGGUAGUCUGCAUUUCCUGGGCUAGAGAAGGUGUUGGCCAUGUGACUUUUUUGUACAUUUCUUUGCUGUUGUGAUACAAAAGAUUAAAAAGAACAUUGUCAUACAAUUA
This is a long non-coding RNA of Falco peregrinus (peregrine falcon), 2207 nucleotides long. RefSeq lists it as uncharacterized. The transcript is spliced from 4 exons. The record is from RefSeq and is a predicted model, not a curated record. NCBI's taxonomy places the organism in Eukaryota, Metazoa, Chordata, Aves, Falconiformes, Falconidae.